CUAUCGCUUACAGAUGGGCCCGCGGUGCAUUAGCUAGUUGGUAGGGUAAUGGCCUACCAAGGCAACGAUGCAUAGCCGACCUGAGAGGGUGAUCGGCCACACUGGGACUGAGACACGGCCCAGACUCCUACGGGAGGCAGCAGUAGGGAAUCUUCCGCAAUGGACGAAAGUCUGACGGAGCAACGCCGCGUGUAUGAAGAAGGUUUUCGGAUCGUAAAGUACUGUUGUUAGAGAAGAACAAGGAUAAGAGUAACUGCUUGUCCCUUGACGGUAUCUAACCAGAAAGCCACGGCUAACUACGUGCCAGCAGCCGCGGUAAUACGUAGGUGGCAAGCGUUGUCCGGAUUUAUUGGGCGUAAAGCGCGCGCAGGCGGUCUUUUAAGUCUGAUGUGAAAGCCCCCGGCUUAACCGGGGAGGGUCAUUGGAAACUGGAAGACUGGAGUGCAGAAGAGGAGAGUGGAAUUCCACGUGUAGCGGUGAAAUGCGUAGAUAUGUGGAGGAACACCAGUGGCGAAGGCGACUCUCUGGUCUGUAACUGACGCUGAGGCGCGAAAGCGUGGGGAGCAAACAGG
This 572-nucleotide ribosomal RNA is filed under the name Listeria monocytogenes. Its description in RNAcentral is "bacterial SSU rRNA". It matches the Rfam family "Bacterial small subunit ribosomal RNA", at positions 212 to 776 of the family's 1533-position model. The record is from RNAcentral. Lineage: Bacteria; Bacillati; Bacillota; Bacilli; Caryophanales; Listeriaceae.